Salarias fasciatus (jewelled blenny) is the source of this 406-nucleotide long non-coding RNA. RefSeq lists it as uncharacterized. NCBI's taxonomy places the organism in Eukaryota, Metazoa, Chordata, Actinopteri, Blenniiformes, Blenniidae. The transcript has 3 exons. The record is from RefSeq and is a predicted model, not a curated record.
CACACACACAUACACACACACGGGGUCAAGUAGAGAAGCAUGUGAUGCCUUUAUAUCAGGCCCAAAAUCUACUCAUCUCAGGUCAGCACAGUUCACACAACCAACAGCACUUCAACCACAAACUUCAGACUCAAUAAUUGUACUUGAGGAAAAGUAGCUUAAAGAGCUUGUGAUAGAUGUUGUUUCUCUAUUUUCUUCGUUUUCUGUUGGCCACGAAGCCCACGCCACACCACCGAAUACACAUCUACAGUACAAACAGGCAGGAUUUCAUCACCUGAAAUGUUUUAGGAUUUAAUUUGAGAACUAAAUCCAACAAAGCCAUAGACAUAUCUCAAACUCGCAGAUUUCAAAUCUUUUCAAAACGACACUGCAUGUAGUGUGUGUGUAUGCCGUGAAUGAAAGAAUG